RNAcentral lists this ribosomal RNA (288 nucleotides) under uncultured bacterium. RNAcentral's name for it is "partial 16S ribosomal RNA". It matches the Rfam family "Bacterial small subunit ribosomal RNA", at positions 773 to 1060 of the family's 1533-position model. The record is from RNAcentral.
GUGGAUUAGAUACCCUGGUAGUCCACGCCGUAAACGAUGUCAACUAGCCGUUGGAAUCCUUGAGAUUUUAGUGGCGCAGCUAACGCAUUAAGUUGACCGCCUGGGGAGUACGGCCGCAAGGUUAAAACUCAAAUGAAUUGACGGGGGCCCGCACAAGCGGUGGAGCAUGUGGUUUAAUUCGAAGCAACGCGAAGAACCUUACCAGGCCUUGACAUGCAGAGAACUUUCCAGAGAUGGAUUGGUGCCUUCGGGAACUCUGACACAGGUGCUGCACGGCUGUCGACAACU